Molecule: ribosomal RNA, 253 nt
Filed under: uncultured bacterium
Lineage: Bacteria
Description: partial 16S ribosomal RNA
Rfam family: Bacterial small subunit ribosomal RNA
Source: RNAcentral
UACGUAGGUGGCAAGCGUUGUCCGGAGUUAUUGGGCGUAAAGCGCGCGCAGGCGGUGCGGUAAGUCCCUGGUGAAAGCGCUCGGCUUAACUGGGCGAGGGCCGGGGAGACUGCCACGCUGGAGGGGAGCAGAGGCGAGUGGAAUUCCGGGUGUAGUGGUGAAAUGCGUAGAUAUCGGGAGGAACACCUGUGGCGAAGGCGGCCGGCUGGGGGUACCCUGACGCUGAGGCGCGACAGCGUGGGGAGCGAACCGG